CUGAAGGGCCGGCAAUUGAGGCGCGGGGCGCCUGGGAAAUUUGAAAGGUUGGGACUACGCGGUGAGGGCAGGCCUUGCGACCCCCCCCCCAGAAAUGUGCAAAACUUCCCGUUCUACACGCCCCACCUGCUUAUAUUCCAUGGGAUCUGGCCUGGAAUCGGGGUUCGGCACCCUCACUCCUUGGUGCAGGUUUCGGGGGACCAGCCACCUUGCAAAUCUCCACCACAAGCUCCUGCUUGGCGUCCUGUCUGUCCUCCGCCAGCGCCAAUCGCGCAGAUAAAGUGGAGUACUUUUAGAUUGCCGCGUUCACGUGGGACCCUCUCCUUGCUAAAUUGCAGCUAUGGUUUGCAAUGAAUAGACCACCUCUCGCCCGAACGGAUUAAAGGAAAUAAAUGUCGACCCAGAGUUGAUCUUCAAAGUUUAUUAGCUUCAGCCCAUUUAAAGCUUAUAAUAAGUUAGUCGGUGCCUAACUCCCCCCCGCCCCCCAGCGUUCUGUACACGGGCUGAUGCGUUUCUCCGCCCCUUGGAAUUGUAGGGUGUAGGUAACCUUGAUUUUGAAAAAAAGUUUACCCGUUGGGCAGAGACCAUACUUGAAGUGUUUCACGUGGGCAGGCAUCUUAGAAUAGGGUAGUACUGUAGUUCCAGACAAGGCUCUGCUACAAAAUCAGGAACUUUUAAAAUUCUCUAGGGUUCAGGAGGCUAAGGCAGGAGGAUUGCAAGUUAAAAGCCUGCCUCAGCAACUUAGAGGCCCUUAGCAACUUAGUAAGACCCUGUCUCAAAAUAAAAAAAAAAUGGGCUGGGGAUGUGACAUGCACAGUGGUUGAAUGUACCUGCGUUCAAUCCCUGGUACCAAAAAUAUCCUGAGGAACUGCUUCACCACCCUCCCCAUCCCUUGUCCCAAACACAUAACAAUCACCUUACUAUUGAAAGACCCCAGCCCAAUAACUUUAGGCCCAGUAAUAAAUCACCAGGGCUUGCUUCCGCACCUGCACAGACGUCAGAUGUAUUUUUCAGAAAAUCAGUUAAGUGUAAACGAUUAAGAAAGGACAGGAUGGUUGGGAAAGGAGCCGGCACGGUUGGGCAAACGGGAUCAUACAAUGAAAAAACCAUACAAUGAAUAACAAAUGGUUUUUAUGUGGUUUUUCCAGGAACCUAUAGUGAAAAACAAGUUUACCCUUUAAGUGACCUAUAUGCUGGAUUCAAAAGAGCCAAUGAGAUACCUGUUACUGUGCUAGGAGGAAAACUGACCACUGUACCCUAUAAAAGAUCUGUACCCCAAAGCCCGGUGUGCCAGUUC
This 1297-nucleotide long non-coding RNA is filed under the name Marmota monax (woodchuck). Lineage: Eukaryota; Metazoa; Chordata; Mammalia; Rodentia; Sciuridae. The record is from RNAcentral.